Long non-coding RNA from Lingula anatina, 939 nucleotides. NCBI's taxonomy places the organism in Eukaryota, Metazoa, Brachiopoda, Lingulata, Lingulida, Lingulidae. The record is from RefSeq and is a predicted model, not a curated record.
CCUCUCUGCAUGCAGUGGUAUGACUGGUUCUCUGUCACUUGAGUCCCCUUUGUGGACAGGGAGGAGGAAACGUGGAAGAUGCUCGCGUGGCCAAACUUCAAGAGGUCUAGAGAGACCGCAUUGUAAAAAUAUGAUGGUCGUGUGGAGCGAUGGUCUAAAUGGUUGCCUGGCGACGAGUGUCACUGAUAAACGGGAUAAAGACUGACCACGAGCUGAACAAACAAAGCCACCUGGAUAGUUUGUUUGCCUUGAUUAAUAUAGAGAUUAUCAAUAAUAAAAGUCAUUUUGGGAAGACCAAAGAGAAACUAAUUAGCAAUCGCACAAGAGAAUGGAGCCUACCAAAGUUUGUCCCCAUGGAGAUGAAAAUGCUGUGCAAGCGUCACUCACUAUUUGACCUGUAUCCACUGUAGAGGAAAAUGAACAUUCAAAAUUCGUUGGAGAUGAACGAUGCAUGUGUCGGUGAAAAGAGAGGACCUCCCUCAGACAGAAACACAAUGCAGUUGAAGAAGAUCAGACAGAAAGCACCUUUGUUAAUCCCGUAGAAUGCCGGAUAAUCAGAUGAGAGUUAACUGACUCAAAGUACCAACACGUAUUUCGAAGCUGACGAAAGAAUUCUAUGCACCAGCAGCAAGGGCAGAGACGAGGAGGCUUGGUUCUCACAAUCUUCAGGGUAAUUACAAUUUUCAGAGCUAGGUACACGUUAAGUUCUGUAGUAAGGCGAACAACUUUUGCAGGGCUUGUUUUUUCCACUUUCCUUGUAUUUAUUGAUUUUUUUAUGAAAACUCAAAUAAUUGUGCAAGAUAACUGGGAGAUUCAAUUUGUGCCUUGCAGUAUGGUGAAAACAAUCAAGCUUGAAGAUGUUACACCAUUUCUCACAUUUACGUAACCAGUACAGGUGCUCCAUUAUGUUGUAAACUUUGGAGGUACUCUAGGGCAGUG